RNAcentral lists this non-coding RNA (46 nucleotides) under Schistosoma mansoni. Lineage: Eukaryota; Metazoa; Platyhelminthes; Trematoda; Strigeidida; Schistosomatidae. The record is from RNAcentral.
ACACUGCUAAGGAGUCCUAUAAUAGGACGAAACGGCCGUCCAGUAC